CCAAGGAGUCUAACAUGUGCGCGAGUCAUUGGGACCGAGGAAGCCUAAAGGCGAAAUGAAAGUGAAGGUCGGCCCAGCGCCGACCGAGGGAGGAUGGACGGCGUCACGAUGCCGUCCCGCACUCCCGGGGCGUCUCGUUCUCAUUGCGAGAAGAGGCGCACCCAGAGCGUACACGUUGGGACCCGAAAGAUGGUGAACUAUGCCUGGUCAGGACGAAGUCAGGGGAAACCCUGAUGGAGGUCCGUAGCGAUUCUGACGUGCAAAUCGAUCGUCGGAACUGGGUAUAGGGGCGAAAGACUAAUCGAACCAUCUAGUAGCUGGUUCCCUCCGAAGUUUCCCUCAGGAUAGCUGGCACUCGCGUGUUCCCAGGAACCUGUGCGAGUCUCAUCUGGUAAAGCGAAUGAUUAGAGGCCUUGGGGCCGAAACGACCUCAACCUAUUCUCAAACUUUAAAUGGGUGAGAUCUCUGGCUUGCUUGAACUAUGAAGCCACGAGAUCAUGGAUCAGAGUGCCAAGUGGGCCAAUUUU
Molecule: ribosomal RNA, 527 nt
Filed under: Orussus minutus
Lineage: Eukaryota; Metazoa; Arthropoda; Insecta; Hymenoptera; Orussidae
Description: eukaryotic LSU rRNA
Rfam family: Eukaryotic large subunit ribosomal RNA
Source: RNAcentral